UGAGCAAAUAAAAGGUUGAAAAUGUUGC
Molecule: non-coding RNA, 28 nt
Filed under: Mus musculus (house mouse)
Lineage: Eukaryota; Metazoa; Chordata; Mammalia; Rodentia; Muridae
Source: RNAcentral